GUCUUUUUGUAUUUAUAAAAAGUCUGACCUGCCCACUGAUUUUUUUAAUGGCCGCAGUAUUUUAACUGUGCAAAGGUAGCAUAAUCAUUAGUUUUUUAAUUGAGAACUAGUAUGAAUGGUUGGACGAAAAAUUAUCUGUUUCAUUUAAAUUUAUUAUAGAAUUUUAUUUUUUAGUUAAAAAGCUAAAAUUUUUAUAAAAGACGAGAAGACCCUAUAAAUCUUUAUAAUUAUUUAAAUAAAUAAUAAUUUGAAUAUUCAUUUUUUAUUUUUUAUAUUAUUUUAUUGGGGUGAUAUUAAAAUUUAAUAAACUUUUAAUAUUUAUUUUUACAUUAAUUUAUGAUUUAUUGAUCCAUUAUUAUUGAUUAAAAGAACAAGUUACUUUAGGGAUAACAGCGUUAUUUUUUUUAAGAGUUCUUAUUUAUAAAAAAGAUUGCGACCUCGAUGUUGGAUUAAGAUAAUUUUUAGGUGUAGUCGCUUAAAUUUUAAGUCUGUUCGACUUUUAAAUUCUUACAUGAUCUGAGUUCAAACCGG
RNAcentral lists this ribosomal RNA (531 nucleotides) under Ceromya silacea. RNAcentral describes it as "partial 16S rRNA". The stretch from base 386 to 531 matches the Rfam family "Archaeal large subunit ribosomal RNA", at positions 2542 to 2688 of the family's 2987-position model. The record is from RNAcentral. Lineage: Eukaryota; Metazoa; Arthropoda; Insecta; Diptera; Tachinidae.